Molecule: long non-coding RNA, 1040 nt
Organism: Daphnia pulicaria
Lineage: Eukaryota; Metazoa; Arthropoda; Branchiopoda; Diplostraca; Daphniidae
Exons: 3
Source: RefSeq, a predicted model, not a curated record
CAGGGAGGUGCAAACAGCUCUCCACAGGCUUUACCCACAUCUAUUCAACAAAUCAAAUAUCCAUAAAUAUGCGUUCAACUGCACAGUAAUACACAAUCCUUGGGCAUUUGAAAACUUGCAGUUAUUUCUAUUCAUGGAUGGGGUUUCGACCAGAAUAUGUACCACUCCUACCCACCCAAGACGGAAAAAAGAGGAGGAAAAAAGAAGAGUCGAGUCUCAAAGUCUCAAAGCCCAUUAUUACUGAUUGAUUAUUGAUUGGCGGGAUAUUAAAGGGUUCCCCUCCUGUCUAUUAAGGGUUCACUACCACAUCACGCUAACAACAAACAUAUCUUAAACAAAAUAUAAUAAUAACAAUAUUAUCUUUCAUGUUUAUUCUUGCAUGUGUGUGUCUACAGGAUGGUUAUAUCCAAACAACAAAUACGAGCAGCCAGAACAUGCCGUGUACAUUCUGAACUGCAUGUCACAGUUCGAACUGCUUUUAUGGCAGCAGACAGAGCGACUAGUUUCAUGGCUCAGGUGACCUGCGACAAAGAAGUGCAGACGGCUCUUCACAGGUUGUUCCCUCAUCGCUUCAACCAAUCGAACAUCCAUGCGUAUGCAUUUAAUUGCACUUGUAGUAUUGGUUGCAGUAAUUCCUACCCAUGGAUAGGGUGUCAACCGAAAUCUAUUACUUUCGAUCGCCGCUGCGUUGAUUCAGAACAACGGUACUCCAUUAAUUAAUUGUUUUAGAUUCUUUUCUUUAUACCUCUUACCUUUGUAGCAGUUCGUGGAAAUUGUGGACGACGUAGUCCAAGAGGGGCAGGACGUGGUGCUUUGGCCGCAGGACUUGGUGCCUUGGCCGCAGUACGUGGUGCGUUGGCUGCUUAGCCUGUUGCAUUGGCUGUUUGGCCUGGUGCAUUUGCCGCUGGGCAUGGUGCAUUGGGUGCUGGACGUUAUGACUCCCUCGCAUCACGCUUAUUCAUAUUAGUUCGUUGAAUUUUCUUUUACAGUUUUUUUUAUAAAUUUGAGCAUGCAGCGUCCCCCCAUUUUGAGUUUUUGAA